This 116-nucleotide unclassified non-coding RNA is filed under the name soil metagenome. Its description in RNAcentral is "partial internal transcribed spacer 1". The record is from RNAcentral.
AUGAUGACCCUUCACGGUCUGUAUACUAAUUCCUAAACCUCUGUGAACCGUUGGCCCUUCGGGCCGCUAAUUUACAAACAUGGUGUAAAUGAACGUCAUAGUAUCAUAACAAAACA